GAUCCUGGCUCAGGACGAACGCUGGCGGCGUGCUUAAUACAUGCAAGUUGUGCGUGAUUGGGGGCAACCCCAUGAAAGCAGCGAACGGGUGAGUAACACGUAAACAAUCUGCCUCUAAGAUUGGGAUAACCCUGCCAACGCGGGGCUAAUACCGGAUGUGAUUCAGAAGACGCAUGUUUUUUGAAUUAAAGGAGCAAUCCGCUUAGAGAUGAGUUUGCGUCCCAUUAGCUAGUUGGUGAGGUAACGGCUCACCAAGGCCGAGAUGGGUAGCCGGCCUGAGAGGGUGAACGGCCACAUUGGGACUGAGAUACGGCCCAGACUCCUACGGGAGGCAGCAGUAGGGAAUAUUGCGCAAUGGACGAAAGUCUGACGCAGCAACGCCGCGUGAGGGAUGACGGCCUUCGGGUUGUAAACCUCUGUUGAGUGGGAAAAAAAUGCCGCAAGGUACUGAUGGUACCAUUCGAGGAAGCACCGGCUAACUACGUGCCAGCAGCCGCGGUAAUACGUAGGGUGCAAGCGUUGUUCGGAAUCACUGGGCGUAAAGGGAGCGUAGGCGGGUUUAUAAGUUAGGAGUUUAAAUCAUAGGCUUAACCUGUGUGUGGCUUUUAAUACUGUAGAUCUUGAGUAUGGGAGAGGAUGAUGGAAUUCCAGGUGUAGCGGUGGAAUGCGUAGAUAUCUGGAAGAACACCAGUAGCGAAGGCGGUCAUCUGGCCCAAUACUGACGCAGAGGCUCGAAAGCUAGGGGAGCAAACAGGAUUAGAUACCCUGGUAGUCCUAGCCGUAAACGAUGGAUACUAGAUGCUGGAGGGAGUCAAUCUUUUCAGUGUCGCAGCUAACGCAUUAAGUAUCCCGCCUGGGGAGUACGCUCGCAAGAGUGAAACUCAAAGGAAUUGACGGGGGCCCGCACAAGCGGUGGAGCAUGUGCUUUAAUUCGAUGCAACGCGAAGAACCUUACCUAGACUUGACAUGGGAUUGAAAGCUUUUAGAAAUAAGAGCCUUUCCGCAAGGAACAAUCUACACAGGUGCUGCAUGGUUGUCGUCAGCUCGUGUCGUGAGAUGUUAGGUUAAGUCCUGCAACGAGCGCAACCCUCGUCCUUAGUUGCCAUCAGGUAAAGCUGGGAACUCUAAGGAGACUGCCUGGUUUAACCAGGAGGAAGGUGGGGAUGACGUCAAAUCCUCAUGGCCCUUACGUCUAGGGCUAGACACGUGCUACAAUGGCCGGUACAACGAGAUGCAAGGCUGCGAAGUCAAGCUAAUCUCUUAAAACCGGUCUAGGUUCGGAUUGAAGUCUGCAAUUCGACUUCAUGAAGCUGGAAUCGCUAGUAAUCGCGGAUCAGCAUGCCGCGGUGAAUACGUUCCCGGGCCUUGUACACACCGCCCGUCAAGCCAUGAAAGAUGGUAGUACCCGAAGUCGCUUCUCUAACCGCAGGGAAGAGUGCGCCGAAGGUAAGACUGUUGAUUGGGGCUAAGUCGUAACAAGGUA
Molecule: ribosomal RNA, 1483 nt
Filed under: metagenome
Description: bacterial SSU rRNA
Rfam family: Bacterial small subunit ribosomal RNA
Source: RNAcentral